This is an RNA transcript of Pyrus x bretschneideri (Chinese white pear), 4529 nucleotides long. It is a transcript of the gene named TMV resistance protein N, with no coding region annotated. The transcript is spliced from 7 exons. Lineage: Eukaryota; Viridiplantae; Streptophyta; Magnoliopsida; Rosales; Rosaceae. The record is from RefSeq and is a predicted model, not a curated record.
UCACAGCGUCCUCGAGGGGACUAUACCAGUCCAUUGUCCUUACCAUACUGCAUAUUAGGCUCUUUUCUUUCGUUUAUCUGGCUUUAGUUCUCUUAUGGCCAAUCAACUUGCCUCUUCUUCUUCCUUGAGUACUCUUCCCCGGAGACACGAUGUGUUUUUAAGUUUUAGAGGUGAGGAUACACGCUUUACCAUUACAGAGCUUUUAUACUACGCUUUGUCCAGUAAGGGAAUCAACACCUACAUGGAUCAGCAGCUUCAAAGAGGAGAAAAAAUAGCUCCGACUCUUUUCAAAGCAAUUGAAGAGUCAAGAAUUUCUGUUGUCAUACUCUCUAAGAACUAUGCCUCCUCAAGGUGGUGCUUGGACGAGCUCGUCAAGAUCCUUCAAUGUGGAGAAUCAAAGAAACAAAUAGUUUUGCCAGUUUUCUACAAGGUGGAUCCGUCUAAUGUACGAAAUCAAACGGGUAGUUUCGGUGAUGCGUUUACGGACCAUGAGAGCAAGUUCAAAGAUAACAAGGAGAAGGUGCUCAUGUGGAGGAGAGCUCUAACAGAAGUAGCAAAUUUGUCAGGACAUCAUUUCCGAAAGGGAGAGUCCAUGGUUACAUUAAUCAGCAACAUUGUUGAGAAUAUCUUAGUAAAAGUACUUGAUGGCACAUAUUUAAAUGUGGCCAAAUACCCAGUUGGAGUAGAUUCUUGCGUUCAAGAGGUGAAAGAGCUUUUAGGUGUCAGAGGAAAUGAUUGUUGUGUGGUUGGGAUUUGGGGGGCACCUGGAAUAGGCAAGACAACAAUUGCAAAAGCUGUUUAUAAUGCAAUUGCUCAUGAAUUUGAAGGCAGUUGUUUCCUGGCAGAUGUUAAAGAAAGGUCGACAUCACUUGAAGGCGUAAUCCAAUUACAAAACGAUCUUCUUUCUAAAGUUCUAUGUGGUACAAAGUUAAAAAUUGACGAUGUUUAUCAAGGAAUCAGUUUUAUAGAGAAACUGUUGAGGGGAAAGAAGGUUCUCUUAAUUCUUGAUGAUGUGCAUGAAUUGGAGCAGUUAAACAACUUGGUUGAAGUCCAUCAAUUAGGUGAGGGUAGCAGAGUGAUCAUAACCACAAAAAAUAAAGGAUUGCUGGAAUCUUGUAAAGUUGAGCUGAUAUACAAGGUCCAAAAGUUAGAAGACAACAAAGCUCUUGAGCUUUUUAGUUGGAAUGCCUUUGGAAAAGAAAAACCUCCAGGUGAUUAUUUGGGACUCGCACGACGUGCAAUAGCAUAUGCUCAAGGCCUCCCGUUAGCUCUUAAUCUUAUAGGUUCUCAUUUGCGUGGUAAAAAUAUAGAUCGUUGGCAAGAUAUUUUGGACAGUUACGAUGAAGAACCUUAUAGAGGGAUUCAAAGAGUACUUCGGAAAAGUUAUGAUAUCUUGGAUUAUGUCCCGCAACAAGUUUUCCUAGACAUUGCAUGCUUCUUCAAGGGUGAAGAUAAAGACAAAGUGUUACAGAUAUUAAAAGGAUCAAACCUCAAAGUACGUCAACAUUGUAUUGAUGUUCUCGUUGAGAAUGCCAUUAUAACUAUUGAAGAUAAUAGGAUUUUGAUGCAUGACUUGCUAGAACAAAUGGGUAAACAUAUAGUUUGGGAAGAAUCGCCUACUGAACCAGGUGAACGGAGCAGAUUGUGGCAUCAUGAAGAUGUGUACCGUAUUCUAACUAAAAACAGAGGAACAAAGAAAAUUAAAGGCAUUGUGGUGAAGUUGCCCAAGCUAGAUGUGAUACCCUUGAAUGCAAAAAGCUUUUUCAAGAUGGUAAAUCUUGAAAUUUUUAUAAUCCAUAAUGCACACUUUUCUGGAUGCGUUGAGUACUUACCUAACGAUUUGAGAUGGAUUGAAUUUGGUGGAGAUAAGCUUAAAGACUGGGGAUCCAAUGUUCUUCAAAAGCAUAUACUUACAUUCAAUUUGCAAUCCAAUUGUCAUCUAAGGCAUCUUGUCACGUUUAUUAUGCCAAACAGUGACAUCAGACAAUUGAAGGGAUUUCAGAAUUUGACAAAGCUUACAUCUUUGAAUUUAAGUGGUUCCGAAUUCUUAGAAAAAAUUCCCAACUUAUCUGGAAGUCCAAACCUAAGGGAGUUGAUUCUAGAUGAGUGUAAACGUUUAGUUGAAGUUGAUGAUUCUGUUGGAUUCCUUGAUAAACUUGUUACAUUAAGUUUUGAUGGGUGCUCUAGGCUUGAGAGAUUUGCGACGAGACUUGGAUUGAGAUCCCUUGAAAGCCUUUAUCUUGAUGGUUGCACAAGGCUCAAGAGUUUCCCAGAAAUAGAGGUCGAGAUGGAAUCUCUGAAGUAUUUGUCCAUAGAAGAAAGUGGCAUAAGAGAAUUGCCUUCAUCAAUUGCAUAUCUUACUGGGCUUAAGAGAUUGUGGGCAAAUGGUUGUCAGAACCUUACAGGAACAUCAUUACAUCACAUUUUUGGGUUGCAACAUCUCGACUAUAUUGAAAUGGAUGGAUGCCCAAAACUGGUGACAUUUGGGAAGUUUUCAACUCACUUAGACACUUCACAUGACAACGGUAUCCCAUUAGCCCUUUCCAACGUAGGUUGUACUUAUCUUGAUCUUAGUGGAUGCAAUUUAUCAGAAACUGAUUUUCUUGUGCCUCUUCAUUGGUGGACCAAAUUAAAACGUGUUCGUCUGGGGGGAAACAAUUUUGUUAGUCUACCUGAAUGCAUCAGCAAAUUUGUUAACUUGGGAACACUUGAUUUGAGUCGUUGCAAGAGGCUUCGGGAAAUUCCACAUGCCCUUCCACCAAAUCUAAGUGAAUUACAUCUGGAUGAUUGCACAUCAUUGGAGAAAAUUCCAAAGUUGCCCUCGGGGCUUAGGCGUCUGCGGUUGGCUAAUUGCUUUAGACUAAGUGGCGAUGAGGUGACAAAGUUGAAAAAUAAUUUGUUGAACUUGAAUCAGGAAUCUCUUUUAUGCUCUCAAUUGCAAGUUAUGUAUCCGGGCAAUGAAAUUCCAAAGCAGUUUAGCUAUACCUCUAAACAUCUAACAGCCUCUAGGAUUGAUCGUGAACCUUAUUAUGAUGGAGGUAGUGAAUUUAGUUUUGAAAUUCCUCUAAAUUUACAGGAGAGGGAGACAUUAUUCGGAUUGGCUCUAUUUUGUGUUUUGCCACCACGGCCUUUAUCAAAAUUUGAAUAUUUUUACUACUUUCGUAUUCUCAUCAACGAAGCAAGUGACCAUACAGUAUUUGGGUGGGCUGAGAAAGGCGUGGAGACAGCUCAUGUGGGGCUCAUGUUAGUGGAUUUAAAAAAGAAGCAGGGAGAAAGCCCAUGUGGGGCACAUGUUAGCGGAGAUAUUUGUGAAGUUAAAUUUCAAAUCCGCGGGGGCACACACAUUAAAAUCUGCGGGGUGCACCCCUUAUUCCGCAAAGAAGAUGAACAGCUUCCCUUGUCUUUGGGACCAACGAGUAGUCUUGGAUCCACAGAUAUUGUAGAUGAUGAAUAUGAUCGGCAACAACAAUGGCCUUCCUUAUCUUUGAACCCAGCGGAUGAUCAUCCGAAACGCACGCAGAUUGAUCACAAUGUUCCUUCUGAUAUUGAGGAGGAGCAAGAGCAACCGUCCACCAUUUCUGAUUUACUACGAGUUUGGGUCUCAACCUGCUUCGGUUGUUUAAAUUUCUGGUGUGAGCCAAGAAAGUGAACUCAUUAAUGUUGCUGCUCUAGUUAGUCAGCCUGCUGUUUCUGCCAAGGAACCGACAAGCCUGCGGUCUCUUUAUGUUCCACCAUCGGAAGCUGGGUGUGAAGCGUGCUGCGUGCAUUAGUUGUUGGAAUGGGACUUCAAAUUCUUCAACAGGUUUGGUAGAAAAAGUUAAAAGGAAAAUUUUAUUUAAACCCAUGCAACUUUUUUUCUACACUCCUCAGGUGUAUGAGCAGGCCGGUGUCGCCAUUCUUCUAUCUAACAUAGGGUUGAAUCCGACAUCUGCAUCUCUCUUCGUCGCUGCUGCUCUCCACAUUAUAUUGUCCCUCACUCUUCUUGUAGUUGCCAACAUUGUCAACUUGGGAACUGUUCUGAAUGCAACAAUCUCCACCGCCGUGCCUGCUGCUUCGUCAUGGCAUUUGGAGUAACCCCGAACAUUCUCUGCGCAGUGAUCAUCCCUACGAGCAUCCACGGCCUCUGCAUUGCCAUCUGUGCCCUCACAUUCUGGAUUGGAGACAUCAUCAUCACUUACGCAUUUCCUGUCAUGCUCUCUUCCGUUGGAUUUACUGGCAUCUUCGGAAUCUAUGUUGUCGGGUGCAUCGUUCCUGGAUAUUUGUUUACUUGAAGUCAGCUGCUGCUGAUGCAUCUGUUGGAUUCCAAUGAGAACUGAUUUGAUUGUUUAGAGGGUUUGAAAGUUUGGUUUGGCUUUAGACUGGGAUUAUGAGGACAGGAUUUGAGUUGGAAAAAGUGCUGAUGACUGGAUUGCAUUUUUAGAAAGUGAUUUUGUAAUCAUCAAUAUCCCUCACUUAAUGACAUGUUUGACUAUUUGGUACCGAAAAAUCAAUUCUCUUGGGUCAUAAGCUCAUAAGUGACAUGUUUUGUU